CCCCAGGUAGCUCAACCUGGUAGAGCAACCGGCUGUAGACCGGUGGGUUGGGAGUUCAAAUCUCCCCCUGGGGA
RNAcentral lists this transfer RNA (74 nucleotides) under Candidatus Aenigmatarchaeota archaeon. Its description in RNAcentral is "tRNA-Tyr". It matches the Rfam family "tRNA". Rfam says of the family: Transfer RNA (tRNA) molecules are approximately 80 nucleotides in length. Their secondary structure includes four short double-helical elements and three loops (D, anti-codon, and T loops). Lineage: Archaea; Nanobdellati; Candidatus Aenigmatarchaeota. The record is from RNAcentral.